AGUGAACGCUGGCGGUAGGCCUAACACAUGCAAGUCGAACGGCAGCACAGUAAGGGCUUGCUCUUACGGGUGGCGAGUGGCGGACGGGUGAGGAAUACAUCGGAAUCUACUUUUUCGUGGGGGAUAACGUAGGGAAACUUACGCUAAUACCGCAUACGACCUACGGGUGAAAGCAGGGGAUCUUCGGACCUUGCGCGAUUGAAUGAGCCGAUGUCGGAUUAGCUAGUUGGCGGGGUAAAGGCCCACCAAGGCGACGAUCCGUAGCUGGUCUGAGAGGAUGAUCGGCCACACUGGAACUGGGACACGGUCCAGACUCCUACGGGAGGCAGCAGUGGGGAAUAUUGGACAAUGGGCGCAAGCCUGAUCCAGCCAUACCGCGUGGGUGAAGAAGGCCUUCGGGUUGUAAAGCCCUUUUGUUGGGAAAGAAAAGCAGCAGGUUAAUACCCCGCUGUUCUGACGGUACCCAAAGAAUAAGCACCGGCUAACUUCGUG
RNAcentral lists this ribosomal RNA (492 nucleotides) under uncultured bacterium. Its description in RNAcentral is "partial 16S ribosomal RNA". It matches the Rfam family "Bacterial small subunit ribosomal RNA", at positions 29 to 507 of the family's 1533-position model. The record is from RNAcentral.